CUAAUCAAACACUCCCUAUAUAUCUCGCACCAUUCAGAGAUCAUAAUUUAUCAUCUUCAGAUGGUUGGUUAAUUGGUGACAACAUCCAAUGGUUAAUUCGGCCAACUCUUAUCUUGGUCUCACAAUUUGCUUCGCCUAUUGGUGGUUGAUGGAAAAGGAGUCAUUGUUCUCUCUCCCAUUAUGAGCGAGUGCUAAGGGCAAAAGCUGAUGAGAGCUAUCCCUUAUCUCGAGGGAGCCUAGGAUAAGAGAGAGAGAGGAAGCAGUAGAUCAUGGAUAUCCAGAGGAAGACGAGCAUCAGAACCAUCCAGAUUUUGUAGAAAAUAAUAAUAAUAAAAAAAACAACUACCUAAAGGUAAAUUUUUCUGUACACCUAUUAAUAAGGAACAUUUCGGACGAGUCUGCAUCCUCUGACAAAAAAAGUAUAAAAAGGCACC
Molecule: long non-coding RNA, 434 nt
Filed under: Elaeis guineensis (African oil palm)
Lineage: Eukaryota; Viridiplantae; Streptophyta; Magnoliopsida; Arecales; Arecaceae
Description: long non-coding RNA (EGUI_LNC074414)
Source: RNAcentral